Molecule: non-coding RNA, 4179 nt
Organism: Camellia sinensis
Lineage: Eukaryota; Viridiplantae; Streptophyta; Magnoliopsida; Ericales; Theaceae
Source: RefSeq, a predicted model, not a curated record
CUGACAGUUGUUUUUAAUAAAAAAAUGAACCAAAAUCUCUCACGUUUGUAUCCCAUUCUCUUUCUCUCUGUAAGCAAACAACCCAUCUUCUCUACCGCUGGAUUGCUCUGUUUUUUCCCUUUUACAACAAACUCGAAUCUGGGUGUCAAACUCUAGUUGUCUCUCUCUCUCUCUCUCUCUCUCUCUCUCUCUCACACACACAUACACACACACACACACAAAAUCGCACACCCACCCGAUUGCCUCUUUAUCUCUCUUUCUUUCUCUCACCCAAUCGCACAAGUGCACCGUUGCAGAUCGCAGUUUCUGUUGCGAACUGAUUGCCAUUGCUGCCUUUCACCGAUUGCCUACUUUCAUUUUUAGGAGGUAUCGUGAAGUAUCUAAAAGCGAGGACCUUGUUCAAACGACAACGACGUUGAUCUAGGUUAAAUCAGAUGUAUGAAUUGUUCAGUGAACUUGGUAUUCAUCUCCGAGUCAACUUGAUGGGGUGAGUGACUCACUGUAGAAUACACAAUCUCUAUGCCCUUUGAAGUUUUAGGUAAAAAGCUCGAGUCUUUGUACAUUGGAUCAGAAUUGGGAUUUAUCUUCGAUUUAAUUUGAUCAAUUCAAAUUUCAGAUUUAUAAUAUUGUUAAAAAUAAUAAAUUCAGUCAAAGUUAAUUUAGAGUGUGAUGUAUGAAAUUAAGUUCUAGACCCUAUAAGCCCUUUGCUAUUUUAAUAUGUUGGCUGGCGGUUACCAGAAAUAAAUUCUGAACUUGGUUUUUAUUUUGAGAAGAAACACAAUUUGAUUUCUUUUUUUAAAAAAAAUUAGGCUUCUUUUGGUUAUGUUUAUAUACAUGUGCAUAUAUUUAUUAAAAUCUAUGAUACACAACCCUAAAAUAGGAAAAAUCCUAAGAAAUUGAUUAAUAUUUGUGAUGAAAGUUAAGAAUGGUUGUGGUGUGUUAUGUGAAUUUGUAAUAGAAGUUACGAAUGAUGAAUUUAUAGUGUGUAGUAAAGUUAAAGUUAUACUUUUUAUGGUGCUGAAAAUAAUGAUUUUUAUGAUUUACUUUACAAAAGGUUAUGGUGGUGUUAUGAAGGGCACACAAUAUGCAUCAUUUUAGGAAUGCAAAUAGUAGUAUCUCUAAAUAUGUCUAUAUAUAUAUAUAUAUCCAAGAAUUGAUUCUUUCUUCUUUAUAAUUUGUUUUUAUAAUUUUUUUUUUGGGUGGUAUUUUCCAAUUUACGUAAUUGGUUACUAGUUUUGACAUAUCAAUUGUCAUAUGAAAAACCACUUUAUCUAUCAUCUUAAGGAGAUUGUGAACCUAUCUAUGUUGUUGUAGAAUUCUUUGAUGUUGUCUGUUUUUAGGAGCCUUAUUUACUAGGAUUUUCUUUUCUUUCUUUUUAAUUCUGUGUUGGUGGAACAUUCACAAUUUGUUUGGGCAUGUUUUCUACACUUUUUUAUCUCAUCUUUCCCAUUGAUGGAUAGGGUGGUGUUAUCUACGUUAAUAAAUAUUUCUUUGAUGAUAAAAAAAAAUUAAAAAACCACUUUGACAUUGUUACUUCACUAGUUUUCAUUUGUGACCUUGCUAUGAGCCUAUAAGAGUAUACACGAAUGACAUAAAGAUUUUUUUGUAGGAGCUAUUUCCUUUAAUUUAUGUUCUUGAAUGGUAAUCCUUGAUUAUCAUAACUUAGUUUUUUGGUUGCAUUAACAUUGCAUCUUGUCCUGUUGGGCUUCAUUGGUACCUAGUUAUUUUGGAUAGAUUGGUUUUAUGAAUGAUUUGAUUCAUGAAGAUUGGGAAUGGUAUCACUACCUACCUUUGGCAUGAUAACUGGCAUCCUUUAGGUACCCUUAUUCUCAAAUAUAAGGAUAGGAUUGUGUUUGACCCUGGUUUAGAAUCACAGGCUAUUGUUUCUACUAUCAUUAGGGAUCGGAAUUGGCAGUGGCCCAAUGCUCAAACUUGUGAGCUUAUUGAGAUUAGGAAUUUUGUUAUUGGUGACAUGGUUCCCUCUGACUAUAAGGAUCAAUCUGUUUGGACCCUUUCACCUAAUGGUAUUUCAUCUGUUCAGUCUGAUUGGGAUUUGCUUAAAGUUCAUAGACCUAGAGUGACCUAGCAUAAGCUUAUUUGGUUUAAGUUUCAUAUUCCUAGAGUGAGUACUGUGGUUUGGUUGUCUAUUCCGAGUAGGUUGAAUACCCUUGAUAGGUUAGCUGUUUAUUGGAUUAGAAGUUCUACUUAAUGUGUUUUGUGUAAUCAUCAGGAUGAGGAUCAUGAUCACCUCUUUUUCAGUUGCAACUAUUCAUUGAGUGUGUUGGGCCCUUUGUUAGCUAAGUGUAACACAUCUUGGCCUAUCUUGAACUAGAGUAAUCUGGUGGACUAGUUGUCUAAACAGUUUUCUGGUCAUUCUUUGGCUACCACUGUUAAGAGACUGGUGUUUACCUGCACUGUUUACUGUAUUUGGCAAGAGAGAAAUGUUAGGAUUUUCUCAUCUGGUUGCUCUCUUGCUACUGUUAUUGUGAAAAAGUUGAAUCUCUUGUGAGAUUUAGGUUGUUGUCUGUGAACAAGUUUAAGGAGCAUAGUGCCAAUGAUUGGUUUUUGAAUUCAUGAUAACUCCCUCCUUCUGUGUUAAGGCUUCAUGUUCCUUGAUUUGCUUGUCAUUUCUCUCAGAUUUCUAAUACUUCCUACUAUUUUUAGCUUCCCUCUUGCAGGUCUCCUGGAUUAUCCUUGGAGCAGCACCAUAUUUCCUCUCUGUUUUACUUUGCAGGUUGAGCUGGUACUAACUUAGGGAUGUUGUAAGUUGAGUGUUGUGAGCUAAAACAGUUAGGGUAGUGUAAGAGUGUCUUUGAGAGUGGAGUGUGGUAAGCAUUGAGGGUUGAGUGCAUGGUGAGCUUAUAUAUGAGGGUUAAGUGAUGUGAGCUCAUAAAUCUUUUACAUAUCUAUGUGCUAAUUUUUGUGCAAGUUGUCAAGCUAGUUUAAUAGUAGGGAGGAAGGUUGAGCUUGGUGAGGAUCUAUACAUAGGUUCUCUUCUUCUGAGGUAUAAGUGUUGUAAGCCAGAUUUUUCUAACUGUUUUUUAUGCAGAUUGUCAAGCUGGCACUUAUGUGAAGGAAAUCUUUGUUGAGGGUUGAGUGAAUUUACUACAUAUACUACUUGUAGUGUUGAGAGUUGUUUGAAAGUUGAGAUUUUUUUUGAAUUGUUUGUCUGUUGUUUUCUGCCUGUUUGUCUCAUAUUUGCUGUUGCUUUGUUUCUGUUAUUGUCUCUAUUUGACUGAGAAGUUUGUUCAUGCUGCACCUGUUGUGUUCAACCUCCCUUCCCCCCAUAGUGUUGGUAUGUGGUGUUUGAGUAAACCUUUCAUGUGCAAUGUGUUCAUAUUUCUGGGUGAGAAGUGAUUGGUUUAUUUAGCCUAUUUGUUGUGCUGUUUAUUGUUCUAUUUGUUGUGUUGUUUGUUGUCCAUUCCCCUCAUAUUUCUGUCCAGUUUGAUGUGCUGCCUCUGUUCUGCUGUGCUGGUCUUGCCUGUUGCUAUAUUAGUGUUGCUAUGUUGGCCUGCUGCAGAGCUACUGGGUGCUAAGUGUCACUGUGUUUAGCAUGUUGUGCUAUUGAAAUCUCUUUUGUCAUAUUGGUAGCUCAAGAUGCUACUAGUUCAUGGUUUUGGUUUUUUUUUUUGAUGUUUUCCUGUUUUUGUUGUUCUGUAGUUUAGUGUGUUGGCCGAGAUGGUCAUUUUGUUCUAGUUUUGUUGAGGUAUGGAUGCUUUUGUUGUUUUUAGUUUGUUGAGUCUUCCUGAGGAAUGCCUCUUGUAUAUCUAUACAUUCUUCUGUCUUAAUUUAUAACUUACUUACCUAAAAAAAAGAAGUUUUCUGUUAUAUCAAUUUGAGUAGUUUGAUGGAACAUUGAGCUUUUUAAUAGAGUUUAUCUUUUGUGAACUAAUCAUUUCUUUUUUUGGUAAUGAGGUUAUCCAAGGUAUAUCCCUGCCCUAACACUCUUAACACAUUACACCAAAACUUAGCAGCACGUGAUCUACAAACUGACCAGAGCAGUUUAUAAAAGUAACAAUUAUCAACAAUUCGAUGUGACACUAUCUUUCUCCUUACUAAUAGUUCGCAAGUAGUGAUUAUAUUUUUUUUGCAUUGUGAACCAAUAGAAAACUUGGAACUCAUAACCAAAUGAUAUAUUCUGCUCAUGGGGGCUACAGAAAAUAAAUCAUCAUUUGCAUA